RNAcentral lists this transfer RNA (71 nucleotides) under Candidatus Uhrbacteria bacterium RIFCSPLOWO2_02_FULL_48_12. RNAcentral's name for it is "tRNA-Ala". It matches the Rfam family "tRNA". Rfam says of the family: Transfer RNA (tRNA) molecules are approximately 80 nucleotides in length. Their secondary structure includes four short double-helical elements and three loops (D, anti-codon, and T loops). Lineage: Bacteria; Candidatus Uhriibacteriota. The record is from RNAcentral.
GGGCCUAUAGUAAAAUGGCAUUACGCGCCCAUGGCAUGGGCGAGGUGGGAGUCCGAUUCUCCCUAGGUCCA